UUUUUACACCCCAACUCCUCCCUGCCUCACCAGUAGCCUCUUGCUCCUUUCCACUUCGCUCAACUUCCCCAUUUUCCUCAUCUCGACUCCCCACUUAUAAGAGACACAAUUUGUUGGUAGACUUAAUAUUUAGCAAUAAAUACUCAUUGAUAAUGUUUUUUUCGCCUACUUUUUAGGAUGAGAAGAAAGAAACUGUUGUUGCAGGAAAAAUGAAUGUGGCACUAGUUGAAGAGAAAACAAUGGAUGAUGAACCUGUCAUAUAUGUUACAAAGCAGGAGGCCAAAAAUGAGUUUAAAGCACUAUUAGAGUCUGCAAAUGUGGAGGCGGAUUGGACUUGGGACCAGAUAAAUUGAAUGUUCCGCUCUGUUCUUCUGUUAUUGUCUUGAAUUUGUUACAUGUUGAUAUGCAAUGAUGUAUCAGGCUACGAGGGUGAUUAUUAAUGACAAAAGAUAUGGUGCUGUUUUUGGUUUGCAGUAUCUAUUAUAAAAGGCUUAUCUAGUAUUUUUUAUUUGCUUAAGGAAUCCGAAGAACUCACAUCAUCUACACGAUGGAGGUUUGUUCACACUUCUAUUUUUUCUUGCUCAAAUUUAUUUAAGAAUUUUUUGGUCUAACUUCUUAUACAACCACCAGCAAAGCAUUGACAAUGUUUGAAGAUCUUAGUUUUUUCUUUUCUAGCUAUUUAUACUUAGCUUCAUCUCUGUGCUGAUCCGAAGCAUAUGUUAUGUUAUAAAUUGGUCUAUCUUACUACAACUUAUGUAAUAGCAGGAAAUGUUAGACAUCAUCUUCUUUGAUUUUCAGAUUUCAUUCUGCGUUUUGGCAGAUGGAAGUUUGGAUGAAUGGAUUGCUUUUGACUUAAAGCUGCUUCAGAGUAUCAUUUUUCGUUGAAAAUUGUAAAUGACUACUCUAGCUACUUAGAUACAUUACUUUAGUUAGUAAAGUAUUGGAUUGUUAAGUUAUUU
Long non-coding RNA from Salvia miltiorrhiza (redroot sage), 959 nucleotides. RefSeq lists it as uncharacterized. The record is from RefSeq and is a predicted model, not a curated record. The transcript is spliced from 2 exons. Lineage: Eukaryota; Viridiplantae; Streptophyta; Magnoliopsida; Lamiales; Lamiaceae.